UUUAGAAUUUUUACUUGAAGAGAACAAAAAAUCUUAAAAAAAAAAUUUAUAUAUACUCAGAGUAAUAAUAUUCUGAAAAAUGUAUAUCCCUAAAUAAUAAGGAGGUAUCCUUAAAUCAAAAAGCUUAAAUUUAUGGAAAAUUGUUAUUCCUGGAAUUUGGUGACGGUAUUUUAUCAAGAAAAUUGAAGGCUGUAAGAGGAAUCAUAAUAUAAUUCAAAACUCAAAACGUUCUCUUGGGAUUCAAUUGGGAUUUUAAGCUAUCGCAAAGUUCGCAUUGCAACUAUAUCCUGAGGGGAUCGAAUACGAUAUAGAAUAGUGAUAUAAUAUUCCCGUCAACAAGUUUCUGGAUAAGCGGAACUAUGACAAUAGGAAUUAUGAUUUUUUAUAUCCUUGGCUCCUGGCAAACGAGAUGUCUGGAUUAUACUUAAGGUUAUAUAAUAUGCUAACAAAACUAGAGAAAUUUUAGAUUGUAAAAGCGAUUAAUAUAUCCUUCAUCAUACCUCCAUUACCACUUCAUACAUAAACGGCAAAUGUAAUUCAAAUCAA
Long non-coding RNA from Musca domestica (house fly), 546 nucleotides. RefSeq lists it as uncharacterized. The record is from RefSeq and is a predicted model, not a curated record. NCBI's taxonomy places the organism in Eukaryota, Metazoa, Arthropoda, Insecta, Diptera, Muscidae. The transcript has 2 exons.